CUAGGAUAAAGCCUCACAUUCGGUCUGGAGUUUGUGGACAAAGCUAAAGAGAAAACAAACACUCCGGGAAGCAUCUGUGUCUAUGCAGACUCAAGACAGAAUCCCAGUCUCCUGUCCUUGGUGAACAGCCCCUUUAUCGUAGCAGGGCCUGUUCUGGAGAUGAGAGAACAAAUAGAAAUCAUAUAGAACUUGAAGUGGAGGAGGAGAAGACAAGGCUACUGGAGCGUGGACACCAGAGUUGGGUAAACUCUCCCAGAUAACAGGCCAUGAAAGAAAGGAGAACUCCAGGAAGCACUUUCAUUGUCAACCGGAGCUCUUCUUUCUUUUUCCUCUUCUUUUUCAUUUCUACACCUGUCUGAUACACUCAAGAGCCAAACUCAGUCACAAAGAAAAUUGUGUUACUAUUAGUUUGCCCUUGUCUGUUUGCAUACAUGUGAAAACGUGGGGAAAUCUACAAAUCGCUUGGCAAAGGCCUUUAACAAGUUUACAUGGCUUCCAUGAGCUUGAUUUUUUUCCCCAUAUGGUUGAUGGUCAAGGGCACUGCUCCCUCGAUCAUAAAGUCAUGUUGCUUGUUUUAAGAGACCAGACACAAGACUGUCCCACCCUACUGCAAAUAAGGUCUCCAGAUUAUCAUCUCAUCUCUUGGACUGUGUUAGAGAACUGGGCUUCCAGAUAUAUGUAA
This 682-nucleotide long non-coding RNA is filed under the name Rattus norvegicus (Norway rat). RNAcentral describes it as "long non-coding RNA NONRATT032292". Lineage: Eukaryota; Metazoa; Chordata; Mammalia; Rodentia; Muridae. The record is from RNAcentral.